GCAGGGCAUGGGGGUGCAUGCCUGUAAUCCCAGCAGCUUGGGGAGGCUGAGGCAGGAGGAUUGCAGCCUCAGCAACUUAGUGAGACCCUGAGUAACCCAGCAAGACCUUGUCUCUA
This 116-nucleotide small RNA is filed under the name Marmota monax (woodchuck). Lineage: Eukaryota; Metazoa; Chordata; Mammalia; Rodentia; Sciuridae. The record is from RNAcentral.